AACGAACGCUGGCGGCAUGCCUAACACAUGCAAGUCGAACGAGACCUUCGGGUCUAGUGGCGCACGGGUGCGUAACGCGUGGGAACCUGCCCUUAGGUUCGGAAUAACUCCCCGAAAGGGGUGCUAAUACCGGAUAAUGUCUUCGGACCAAAGAUUUAUCGCCUUUGGAUGGGCCCGCGUUGGAUUAGCUAGUUGGUAGGGUAAAAGCCUACCGAGGCGACGAUCCAUAGCUGGUCUGAGAGGAUGAUCAGCCACACUGGGACUGAGACACGGCCCAGACUCCUACGGGAGGCAGCAGUGGGGAAUAUUGGACAAUGGGCGAAAGCCUGAUCCAGCAAUGCCGCGUGAGUGAUGAAGGCCUUAGGGUUGUAAAGCUCUUUUACCCGGGAUGAUAAUGACAGUACCGGGAGAAUAAGCGCCGGCUAACUCCGUG
This 433-nucleotide ribosomal RNA is filed under the name uncultured bacterium. RNAcentral's name for it is "partial 16S ribosomal RNA". It matches the Rfam family "Bacterial small subunit ribosomal RNA", at positions 29 to 507 of the family's 1533-position model. The record is from RNAcentral.